AUUGAACGCCGGCGGCAGGCCUAACACAUGCAAGUCGAGCGGAUGAAGGGAGCUUGCUCCUGGAUUCAGCGGCGGACGGGUGAGUAAUGCCUAGGAAUCUGUCUGGUAGUGGGGGAUAACGUCCGGAAACGGGCGCUAAUACCGCAUACGUCCUGAGGGAGAAAGUGGGGGAUCUUCGGACCUCACGCUAUCAGAUGAGCCUAGGUCGGAUUAGCUAGUUGGUGGGGUAAAGGCCUACCAAGGCGACGAUCCGUAACUGGUCUGAGAGGAUGAUCAGUCACACUGGAACUGAGACACGGUCCAGACUCCUACGGGAGGCAGCAGUGGGGAAUAUUGGACAAUGGGCGAAAGCCUGAUCCAGCCAUGCCGCGUGUGUGAAGAAGGUCUUCGGAUUGUAAAGCACUUUAAGUUGGGAGGAAGGGCAGUAAGUUAAUACCUUGCUGUUUUGACGUUACCAACAGAAUAAGCACCGGCUAACUUCGUG
This 484-nucleotide ribosomal RNA is filed under the name uncultured bacterium. Its description in RNAcentral is "partial 16S ribosomal RNA". It matches the Rfam family "Bacterial small subunit ribosomal RNA", at positions 30 to 507 of the family's 1533-position model. The record is from RNAcentral.